Molecule: long non-coding RNA, 1295 nt
Organism: Coffea eugenioides
Lineage: Eukaryota; Viridiplantae; Streptophyta; Magnoliopsida; Gentianales; Rubiaceae
Exons: 3
Source: RefSeq, a predicted model, not a curated record
UUCCAAUUCCACGACCGAACUCCUCAAUCGGGUCAACACGCGGGUCUUGUACGGGUAAAAUCUCAAAAAUGGGUCAACUAUAAAAUUGAUGGAAAAAACUCAAACCUCGCUCUUCUCUUUCCAUUAUCAAUUGCCAUAUCUAAUGCUCUGUUGGAGCAUUCCUGCCGCCGCCUCCUCCACUUGUGCUGCCUUCACCCAUCACUUUUGCUGCCACCUCCACCCCUCCAUGCUCCACUCGCUGCCCAUUGCAUAACUCAGGUUGAAAUUGUGGGGUUUUAAUUAGUUUCUGUCAGUCUCCUCCUUCCCUUCCAGUGAAGCUACAUUAGAAGAAGUCGUCUUCGGCCCCUCCAAACUUCAUUCGCUUGCUUUGUAGUUCCAGAUCUUCAUCAAGUCAAGAAACCCCAGUUGCAAACAAUAAAUACCGCACUUGUACGGUUUACUCCAGGAUUGACCGAUACUUUAACCAAUACGGCAUGCCUGUGCAAUUUACUCCCUACUAUUCCAGAUUUUUCAGAUAGAAUUAGAGUUUAUAAAGCACUUGGAACUCUGUGCAGAAAGUGCAGAAAGCAUUAUUGCAGUCGGAUGUCCAUGCAAAAUCUGAUAAAAGUCCUGUAACAGUAGCUGUGUAGCACUUGGUGUAUGAUAAAAUUAGCGACGAGGUAUGUUAUAAACGGUAAUGACUUUUACUAAUAAUCCCACGAUUGAAUUUAUUACAGGGUAGUGGAGAGAGGUUUUCUCCAAUUAAAUGAAGCAGAGCCUGGUCUACUUGAACAAGAACUUAAACUAACUGCUUCUAGAGUAACAUCUGUGCAGUGUCUUGUUCUUUAAAGGAGGUGAGAUUAUUGUAUACUUGUUGUAGCAAAUUAGUGACCCCGUCAAAUUUCUUGGAAGGCGCUGAAUAUUAGAUGAGAAUGAUAUUAAGAAGCAAGAGGAAAAGCUAGAGGCAGGUGCUUCAUUUCUUGUGAAAAUGGUACAUUUGCUCUACAGCUAAAGCAAAAUGGUCAUUGUGUCCUUAUUCAAGUAUUAUUUGUCAAAGGAAAAUGGUCUUAAUUUAGCAUUGAGCUUAUGCAGUUUUACAGUCACCCUUACCUGGCAUGGAAACAUUGUGAACUGAUGGCCUGCGUAGGUCUGCAAGGAGGAGGAAAGUGGUGGUGCCUUGGUGUUUCAAUGUUGAAGUUGAUGGCUUGGUUCGUUUGUUUUGUGUUUUUGAAAUCCACAAUUGGUUGAAUUCUUGUCUUACCUUUGAAGCUAGAAAGGACUAUUACAAUUCAAAAGGGCUACCUUUCUCUUUGGCU